GGUUGAUCCUGCCGGAGGCCAUUGCUCUUGGGGUCCGAUUUAGCCAUGCUAGUCGCACGGGUUCAGACCCGUGGCAAAUAGCUCAGUAGCACGUGGCCAAUCUACCCUCUGGAACGGCAUACCCUCGGGAAACUGAGGUUAAUCCCGUACACGGCUCCCAACCUGGAAUGGUGGGAGUCAGAAACGCUCCGGCGCCGGAGGAUGAGGCUGCGGCCGAUUAGGUUGACGGUGGGGUAAUGGCCCACCGUGCCGAUAAUCGGUCUGGGUCAUGAGAGUGAGAACCCAGAGACGGACUCUGAGACAAGAUUCCGGGCCCUACGGGGCGCAGCAGGCGCGAAACCUUUACACUGCACGCCAGUGCGAUAAGGGGACCCCAAGUGCGCAGGCAUAGUGCCUGCGCUUUUCUGGACUGUAGGGCGGUCCAGGAACAAGGGCUGGGCAAGACCGGUGCCAGCCGCCGCGGU
RNAcentral lists this ribosomal RNA (464 nucleotides) under uncultured archaeon. Its description in RNAcentral is "bacterial SSU rRNA". It matches the Rfam family "Archaeal small subunit ribosomal RNA", at positions 6 to 471 of the family's 1478-position model. The record is from RNAcentral.